RNAcentral lists this ribosomal RNA (464 nucleotides) under uncultured bacterium. RNAcentral describes it as "partial 16S ribosomal RNA". It matches the Rfam family "Bacterial small subunit ribosomal RNA", at positions 339 to 795 of the family's 1533-position model. The record is from RNAcentral.
CUACGGGUUGCACCAGCUAAGAAUCUUCCGCAAUGGGGGAAACCCUGACGGAGCGACGCCGCGUGUGUGAUGAAGGCCGUGAGGUUGUAAAGCACUUUUCUAAUUGAAGAAUAAUGCUGGGAGGGAAUGCCCGGCAGAUGACGUUAGGUUAGGAAUAAGCCACGGCUAAUUACGUGCCAGCAGCCGCGGUAACACGUAAGUGGCAAGCGUUGUUCGGAUUUAUUGGGCGUAAAGGGCGCGUAGGCGGUUUAUCAAGCUUGAUGUGAAAUAUCCCGGCUUAACCGGGGGAAUGCGUCGAGAACUGUUAGACUAGAGUAUAAGAGGGGGAGUUGGAAUUCCUAGUGUAGGGGUGAAAUCUGUAGAUAUUAGGAAGAACACCGGUGGCGAAGGCGAACUCCUGGCUAUAUACUGACGCUGAUGCGCGAAAGUGUGGGGAGCGAACAGGAUUAGAUACCCCCGUAGUC